This 504-nucleotide ribosomal RNA is filed under the name uncultured bacterium. RNAcentral describes it as "bacterial SSU rRNA". It matches the Rfam family "Bacterial small subunit ribosomal RNA", at positions 32 to 511 of the family's 1533-position model. The record is from RNAcentral.
AAUCAACGCUGGCGGCGUGCCUAACACAUGCAAGUCGAACGCGAAAAUGGAGCAAUCCAUGAGUAGAGUGGCAAACGGGUGAGUAACACGUGGGUGACCUGCCUUCGAGUGGGGGAUAACGUCCCGAAAGGGACGCUAAUACCGCAUAAUAUGCUGUCUUUUAAGAGAGAGACAUCAAAGCCGGGGACCGCAAGGCCUGGCGCUUGAAGAGGGGCCCGCGCCUGAUUAGCUAGUUGGUGGGGUAAUGGCUCACCAAGGCAACGAUCAGUAUCCGGCCUGAGAGGGCGGACGGACACACUGGGACUGAGACACGGCCCAGACUCCUACGGGAGGCAGCAGUGGGGAAUUGUUCGCAAUGGGCGCAAGCCUGACGACGCAACGCCGCGUGGAGGAUGAAGAUCUUCGGGUCGUAAACUCCUUUCGAUCGAGACGAAUGGCCCUUGGGAUAAUACCCUGAGGGAGUGACGGUACCGAGAGAAGAAGCCCCGGCUAACUCCGUGCCAG